ACAAGCUCGGGGUGUGUGUUCACAAGCUCAGCAAAAGCGCCGGCCACGCCACUCAUAAUUCUGAAGGACUUCCGUCCUUUACGAUUGUGUGCUUUAUAAUGUUUGUUCACAUGGACUGGGAGUGUGCCCCGACUGGCGUGAGUGAGUGAAUGAGGCGCGUGCGGAGGAACAGACGGACGUAGCCGUCCGCCUACCCCUGUGCUGUGUUUCGGCUCGGUCAGGGUCCCCG
RNAcentral lists this long non-coding RNA (229 nucleotides) under Volvox carteri. Its description in RNAcentral is "long non-coding RNA (VCAR_LNC001077)". Lineage: Eukaryota; Viridiplantae; Chlorophyta; Chlorophyceae; Chlamydomonadales; Volvocaceae. The record is from RNAcentral.